GACGAACGCUGGCGGCGUGCUUAACACAUGCAAGUCGAACGGGAAGGUCCGGCUUUUGGGGGGUGGUCGAGUGGCGAACGGGUGAGUAACACGUGGGUUACCUGCACUUGACUGUGGGAGAACUUCAUGAAGCUGGGGCUAAUAGCGGCUAGGAGCUCCUGCUGCAUGGUGGGGGUUGGAAAGUUUCGGUGGUUGGGGAUGGACUCGCGUCUUAUCAGGUUGUUGGUGGGGUAGUGGCUUAGCAAGGCUUGGACGGGUAGCAGUCCUGAUAGGGUCAGCGGACCCAUUGGGACUGAGAUACGGCCCAGACUCCUACGGGACGCAGCAGUGGGGAAUAUUGCACAAUGCGCGGAAGGCUGAUGCAACCCAGCCGCGUGGCGGAUGACGGCCUUCGCGUUGUAAUCUGCUUCCCUCUGUGACGAAGCGUGAGUGACGGUACCGGGUAAAGAAGCACCGGCUAACUACGUG
Molecule: ribosomal RNA, 468 nt
Filed under: uncultured bacterium
Lineage: Bacteria
Description: partial 16S ribosomal RNA
Rfam family: Bacterial small subunit ribosomal RNA
Source: RNAcentral